Molecule: non-coding RNA, 108 nt
Organism: Lentinula raphanica
Lineage: Eukaryota; Fungi; Basidiomycota; Agaricomycetes; Agaricales; Omphalotaceae
Source: the annotation of a GenBank genome assembly
UGCCCCAUGGCUGAGUUGGUUACAGCGUCCGACUGUUAUGUCCAGCAGAUCUGAUCAGCGUUAUCAUUCACUAUCGGAAGGUCGAGAGUUCGAGCCUCUCUGGGGCAG